GAGAGAGAGAGAGAGAGAGAGAGAGAGAGAUAGAAAGAGAGGAGCUUACGAUAUAUCGCCCUCCUUCCGCGAUUGUUCCUCGGUCUUGGCGGUAACCCAAAAUGAAUCGACGGCUCAUUCUUGCUCGUUUUAAACGUGGCCAUUUUCCAUCGUUUUUCAUCUAUUCGAUAUAACGAUCUUAAACAUGUGCCCCGAUUUCUGAAUACCUUUUUCUACCUUAUAGUAUCGAGUCCUUUGUAUUAUAUAUUUGAAUAAAACUUGUGUCUCUACGGUAGCAUUUAGCCAAACAUUCCUCCCGAGACAUUCUUCUCUCAACGCGAGAGUAAAACGCUUCUUUUCUGUUACGACUCUCGCGUAAACAUCCUACGCGUAAACCUCAAUUGCCGUUUUUCUUCGAGAAUUCGAGCAAAAAACGUUCACGCGGAUAACUCUACAAUUUCUGUCGCGGGAAGGAUCGUCGAUUGAUGAUACUUUUCUCGUGGAUAGAGACGGCAGAGUUCGGAUAUGAUGGCAAUCAACUUCGAUCAAUGCAUUCCGAUCAAUGUGCGGUAUUUUUAAGAGAUGCUUGCGUCAAAACUGAACAUACAUUGUACGUCAUUCCGCGCAGAGACGAACCUCUGAUUUCUUACCUGUUUAUUCCGUUUUACCAUUACAAUUUGCCUAUCGUUGAGGGAAAAUAUGGCCUUCCCCCUCUUUUUUCUUUCUUUUUUCUUUUUUUUUUACACGAUGGGGUAAACCGCUGAUCCGGAAAGGUUCUACCAACGUUCGCUAAAAUAAACGGAAAAAUGAUAG
This is a long non-coding RNA of Trachymyrmex cornetzi, 792 nucleotides long. RefSeq lists it as uncharacterized. Lineage: Eukaryota; Metazoa; Arthropoda; Insecta; Hymenoptera; Formicidae. The transcript has 2 exons. The record is from RefSeq and is a predicted model, not a curated record.